CAUGAAUAUCAUUUGACUGAAAACUUACUUAAAGGUCUUAUCUACAAACACUAAUCCCACAAGAAAAUAAAACAGGAAGGAAAGAUUAAAGUUUGUGCAUGUUGGCUAUCUAAACAUCAAUUUUCAAGAAAUCAAUCAAAAGGAGGUCGGCGGAUAUCAAUAACAGUAGAUAAAACUGCUUAUCACAAAAGAGCCAAUUCAUACCCGAUGAAAGAGGGCGGUUGGAUUUAUGGCAGCAAUCCAUUUCACAUAUAUGGUUCUGAUUACAUGCCAUAAACAAAAUAUGUCGAAAUUUUUGAGUUGUUAAGAAGGGCUCUUCCUAAUGUCACACAUUUCCUAGAAAGGACACGUCUGUUGGUCCACGUGAGCAUCCAUAAAAAUAUUGGUCCAGUUCUAGAUUUUGAAAUGAUCCCACAGAUUCAAUUUUCACUCAAAUCUGUCCUUUGAAUGUCUGUAUGUAUAAUCUAUAUCCCACAUUUAUUGAUGAUGGAGCUCCCACCAUUUCCAUCAACACCAGCACCAUCCCAUCCGGACCCUCUUCUCCUCUCCCUCUUUCAAAAUUCCAUCUCUGCGACUGCAUUACACAAAGACUCAUGUCUGCCAUUCAGGUUCCAAACUUCCAUUCCAUGCCAGUAUUGCAUUGUUUAUAAUUAUUCUAAGCACGAAGAGUUAUUUCCUUUUUACAUUUUCUCUCUUCUUGAUUACCGUAUUAGUUGCACAAUCUUUCAGUCUACAUUCAGGGCAUAUGGAGAAAGUAAAUUUCUAUAAAGGGAAAGUUGGCUCCAAAAGGAGUCUCUUUACCCAUGACAUCUCCCAACGACUUUGCUAUAUAUAAACUCCCAUCAUAUACUUACACACAGACCAAGCUUAACAGUCUGUUCUAACCUUAAGAGAUUCAUUCAAUCCCAAAAUGUCGUUUUCAUAUUCAAGGAACUUCCUAAGACGGUUCUGCGUGGAGGAAUUCCCAACGAAUACACAAACCUAUAGUGGCUUCUUCUCUAAUGAUCUCCUCCCAUCCCUUGGAGCCAGAAUCAACCAAGCAACAAUACUUCGGAGACACAUAGUUUCUCCAUUCAGUCCCCACUAUAGGGCUUGGGAGAUGUUUCUAGUUCUCUUAGUCAUUUACUCGGCCUGGAUUUCUCCAUUUGAGUUUGCAUUUCUGACUUACAAGCAGGAUGCACUGUUUGUUUUUGACAAUAUUGUCAACAGCUUCUUUGCUAUGGAUAUUCUUCUCACCUUCUUCGUGGCAUAUCUUGAUAGCCAAACUUAUCUUUUAGUUGAUGAUCCAAGAAAAAUUGCCAUAAGGUAUCUAUCCACCUGGUUCAUUUUUGAUAUCUGCUCAACAAUACCAUUUCGAGCUAUCAGCCUUCUGUUCAAAAAACACAGUGGUGGACUAGGCUUUAAAUUGCUCAGUAUGCUACGACUUUGGCGUCUCAGACGAGUCAGCUCACUGUUUGCAAGACUUGAAAAGGACAUUCGGUUUAAUUAUUUCUGGACUCGCUGCACAAAACUCAUUUCUGUAACUUUGUUCACUGUACAUUGUGCUGGGUGCUUUAACUACAUUAUUGCAGACAGAUAUCCAGAUCCGAAAAGUACAUGGAUUGGUGCCAUGUAUCCUAAUUUCAAAAAGAUUAGCCUCUGGGACAGAUACGUAACUGCAAUUUAUUGGUCUAUAGUGACACUAACCACAACAGGUUAUGGGGACUUGCACGCUGAGAACCCAAGAGAGAUGCUGUUUGAUAUAUUUUACAUGCUGUUUAACUUGGGAUUGACAGCUUACCUCAUAGGGAACAUGACAAAUCUUGUAGUUCACUGGACCAGCCGCACCAGAAACUUUAGAGAUACAAUAAGAUCAGCUUCAGAAUUUACAAAGCGGAACCAGCUGCCUCCACAUAUACAAGACAAAAUUUUGUCUCACAUAUGUCUAAAGUUCAAAACAGAAGGAUUGAAACAGCAAGAGACCUUGAAUGGCCUGCCGAAAGCCAUUCGUUCCAGCAUUGCUCACUAUCUAUUUUACCCUGUUGUUCAAACUGUCCCUCUAUUCCAGGGAGUGUCACAAGGUUUCCUUUUCCAAAUGGUACCAGAAUUGGAAGCUGAGUACUACCCUCCCAAAGAGGAUUUGAUUUUACAAGAUGAGGCUCCAACAUUUACUUAUAUACUGGUCUCAGGAACUGUUGACUUGAUUGAAAACAUUGAUGGGCAUGAUCAAGUCCUGGGAAAGGCUGGUUCAGGAGAAAUAUUUGGAGAAAUAGGGGUUUUAUGUGGAAAACCUCAGCCAUUUGGCAUUCGAACAACUGAUGUUUCUCAAGUACUAAGGCUGAACAGGACUACUUUACUGAAAAUUCUUCAAACAAACCCAGAAGAUGAACGUAUUAUCAUGAAUAAUCUGUUCACAAAACUGAAAGCAUGUACAAGCAUUGAUAUAGAGGACCAACAGGAUCCAAGAUUGAUCCUAAAUAAUUCGCAUAAUGAAGCAGGAGACUGCUAUGUCCAUGCUGGAGAUAACCCAUGCAGAGUUAGACUGAAACAGGGAUUGAGAGUAGAGAUACCCAAUUCAGAUUUUCUAGAAAGGAAACAACCAAGAAAUGCUUAUGAUGCCUAUAGAAGUCAAAUAGGCAUAAAUUCAUCAGCUGAGGAUGGUGAAACAGCUCUCCAUGUUGCUGUUAGCCAGGGGCAUCUCGAAAUGGUUAGAAUUUUGCUGGAAAGAGGAGCAAAUGCAAAUAAACCAGAUAUGAGAGGGUGGACAGCAAAAGCAUUAGCCUUACUAUGUGAUAACAAAGGAAUAUAUGACCUUAUAUUGAGUUACGAAAAUAAGAAGAAAGUAGAUAAUCACAGAGUCGAGUUUCUUGGGCCAGAAAUAGCUGAAAAAACUAGACAUAUCGAGCCAACAGAAAAUGGGGCUGCUGAUUAUUUGAAAAAUAGUUGUAGGAAUCUUAUGCAUGUCAGUUCUAGCAGUUGUAGCCAUCACAGUAGUACAGAAGCAAUACAAUCAUCCAGGAAGAGAGUCACCAUUCACAUGAAGUUUCCAGAGAAAGAUAUUUCACAAAAGCAGCAUGGAAAGCUAAUUAUGCUACCUGAAUCACUUGACGAGCUAUUCAAACUAGCAGAUCAAAAAUUCGGUGAAAGGAAUCUUACGAAAGUUGUAAAUGCCGAGAAUGCAGAAAUAGAUGACUUAAGUGUCAUACGAGAUGGUGACCAUUUGUUUGUUCUGACAAACCAGUGUGAAGGCAGUGUGUGAUGUGACUUAAGAAUUACAAGGCUAUAAUGUAAGCGUGCAAAUAGCUGCAUUUCAAAGCCUUCCAAUCAGGCCCUGCAUUUAGCUUCUCGGAUCGGGGCUAUGGAGUGAUCUGACAUUUUAUCAGGUGAUAGCCUUCUCCAAAACCUUCCAAAGAUACAGCUUCCAUCCAUAUUCGCUUUUUGCCUUGAAUCCAACAUUUUUAGCUAUACAAUCAGUUGAAUAAUGAAUGAGAUGUGAUUAAAAUAAAAACUGAUAUAUAGAACAAGAAAUCUGCAUUUACUACAUUUUAGACAUUCACGAUUUACUAGAGAAAAACUCAUCUUUAUCAUCUGCCAAAAUGAAAUAAUAAUGAGUGGAAACACUUUCUAAAUAAAGAUGGCAUGAUAAAACAUUAAAAAGAAGCAUGCUUUGAUUUUAAAAAUCAAUAAAUAUGAAGAGAACUAUGAAAAUAGAUUAGGUACAGCUCAUAGACAAACAUGUCCCUUGUAACAUAAUCCUACGCCACAGGAUAUAAGUAUCUUUCUUUAUAUGGAUUAUUUGACAGAAUGUUAAAUUCAACUCCAAAUUAUAUCAAGAGCACUCACAAAUCCUUGUAACCAUUAUUUCAACUAAAAGUACCCUUACAAGUUGAUUUAAAAUUCAAUAACUUGUCACUAUGAUAAUAUUAUAAGACUUACUGAAUGUCAUCAAGUUCUAUAGAAUUUAAUUUUUACAAAGACAAUUUGAUAAAGUUCGUAACAUAACAAACCAUUUCUAAUUUUAGCCCUUGUUUGAGCCGCAUUAUCUCAAAAUUUUUCUCCAACGUUAUUUUCGGUCACACAAUCUUCCAAUAAAAUAAUUUUGCACAUAAAGCCAAACUAUUUCCCUACCUUUUAACCACACAUUAUCCAAAAAAUAACUAUUAUAAAACUCAUUUUUCACAAAAAAUGGGCCAAUAUGGUACAAACUAAAAAUUUCUUCGGAAAUUCACCGAGUCAACCUAUCACAAGCUCAAAGCUUAAAAUUCAAAUAAUUGAUCAAUAUGAAAUCAAAAAGAGAAUUAAGUGCAGUUCUGCGGUCUUAAAUUUGAAAAAAUGCCUAAUAAAUAACCGCUGGUUAGCUCUGUCGCAAUGUAAACUUUCACUGAACAAGACAGCGAUUUCGAAAUGCACCCUCUCCCUUAUUAUUGUGUGCUCCCCCGCGACCGCAAGCUACUGUGUUCGAUUUAGGCGGGAAAUUAACAGGGUUUUGGUUCCAUUUAUUCUGUGUGCUCCCGAGUUUGAUAAGCUCGGUUGGGCAAGGAAUGAGGCCCGGUCCAAACUGGGACGUGGGCCUUUUUUUGGUUCGAGAUGGAGGCCCAACUUCUGAUGAGUGUGACUGCUGGAUCCUCGACCUAUCAAACGUGCAAUCCGAAUACCUAUCAUUUCGAAACAGUGCAACCAUGGUCCUCAAUAGGUAACAUUUUUGAGCUAUUAUUGGGUGACAACCCCCUGGACGUCCAGGGGGUUGUCCAAGGGGCUUUAGCCAACAUUUUUACUCGUGUACGGACCACUCUUGCCCAGUUUUGAAAGGUUAAGCACUCUGGUGCUAUAUUUGGUAAGUUGGGAACUCAAAUAUCACCUUUAUCAAAGGUUGAAGACUCCAAGUAGAAUUACCCUUUCUUGACGAUUGUCCAUAGAAUAUAAAAAAUUAUGCUACUUGCAUAUAACAGAGUUACAUAAUAAUUUGCAUAUGAAAGAAGUG
This is an RNA transcript of Olea europaea var. sylvestris, 4960 nucleotides long. It is a transcript of the gene named potassium channel KAT3-like, with no coding region annotated. The record is from RefSeq and is a predicted model, not a curated record. NCBI's taxonomy places the organism in Eukaryota, Viridiplantae, Streptophyta, Magnoliopsida, Lamiales, Oleaceae. The transcript is spliced from 12 exons.